This is a non-coding RNA of Acanthosepion pharaonis, 106 nucleotides long. NCBI's taxonomy places the organism in Eukaryota, Metazoa, Mollusca, Cephalopoda, Sepiida, Sepiidae. The record is from the annotation of a GenBank genome assembly.
ACGGAUAUAUCACUUUGAAACACUGGUCCUCGUACGAUCACCGAAAUUAAGCAAUGCCGAAUCUGGUCAGUACCUAGAUGGGUAACCGCUUGGGAUUACCAGGUGC